RNAcentral lists this ribosomal RNA (253 nucleotides) under uncultured bacterium. Its description in RNAcentral is "partial 16S ribosomal RNA". It matches the Rfam family "Bacterial small subunit ribosomal RNA", at positions 524 to 776 of the family's 1533-position model. The record is from RNAcentral.
UACGUAGGGGGCAAGCGUUGUCCGGAUUUAUUGGGCGUAAAGAGCGUGUAGGCGGCUAGGUAGGUCCGUUGUGAAAACUCGAGGCUCAACCUCGAGACGCCGAUGGAAACCAUCUGGCUAGAGUCCGGAAGAGGAGAAUGGAAUUCCUGGUGUAGCGGUGAAAUGCGCAGAUAUCAGGAAGAACACCCGUGGCUAAGGCGGUUCUCUAGUACGGUACUGACGCUGAGACGCGAAAGCGUGGGGAGCGAACAGG